This 670-nucleotide long non-coding RNA is filed under the name Elaeis guineensis (African oil palm). RNAcentral describes it as "long non-coding RNA (EGUI_LNC013613)". Lineage: Eukaryota; Viridiplantae; Streptophyta; Magnoliopsida; Arecales; Arecaceae. The record is from RNAcentral.
UAGGCAUCAUUUUGCAUAGUGGGCUAGUAAUAUCCUUAUCGGAGGAUCUUGUUGGACCGCAACUUACCCUCCAAAUGGUUAUCAUAGAUAUCCUCGUAUACCUCCUGAAGGGCAUAGUCAACUUCGGAAGGUCGGAGACACUUGAGCAGAAGUAGGGAUGCUGACCUCCUGUAGAGUUGAUCGUCGAUGAUCACGUAUCGGGCCGCUAGUCUCUUUAGCCGACGUGCCUCGACGGGAUCAGUCGGUAGGGUUUGAUCGGUCAAGUAGUCAAUGAAUGGGUCGACCCAGCUCGGUUCAUGUCCGACUUGCACUUGGUGAACUUCUUCCUCCGAGUCGAUGCUCGAGUUCUUGAGAUGCUCGAUGAAUAUUUUUUCAAGUUCGCCGCAACCAGAGAUAGCGAGAUGAGAUAGGGAGUUGGCUCGGGUAUUCUCCAAGUGGAGAAUAUGAAAAAUCUUGAAAUGGUUGAAAUGUGACUGUAGAGACUUAAGCUUUCAUAGAUACUUGAAAAAAAUAGAAUCUCGGACCGCAUAUGCACCUCGGGAUUGCCCAAUGAUGAGCUGAGAGUCAGUGAACACCCGUAAGCACCUCAUGUUGAGAUCUCCAAUGAUCCUUGGUCCGACUAUUAGAGCUUUGUACUCUAUCUGAUUGUUCAAUGCUUUGAAACCGAACC